RNAcentral lists this ribosomal RNA (406 nucleotides) under uncultured bacterium. RNAcentral describes it as "partial 16S ribosomal RNA". It matches the Rfam family "Bacterial small subunit ribosomal RNA", at positions 30 to 526 of the family's 1533-position model. The record is from RNAcentral.
AUUGAACGCUGGCGGCAGGCCUAACACAUGCAAGUCGAACGAGUGGCGGACGGGUGAGUAAUGUCUGGGAAACUGCCUGGUGGAGGGGGAUAACUACUGGAAACGGUAGCUAAUACCGCAUACCAUCGGAUGUGCCCAGAUGGGAUUAGCUAGUAGGUGGGGUAACGGAUCACCUAGGCGACGAUCCCUAGCUGGUCUGAGAGGAGGACCAGUCAAACUGGAACUGUGACACGGUCCAGACUCCGACGUGAGUCAGCAGUGGGGAAUAUUGCACAAUGGGAGCAAGCCUGAUGCAGCCAUGCGUCGUGUAUGAAGAAGGCCUUCGGGUUGUAAAGUACUUUCAGCGGGGAGGCGUUACCCGCAGAAGAAGCACCGGCUAACUCCGUGCCAGCAGCCGCGGUAAUAC